UUUUCUUUGGAAAUAAAUAAAUAAUAGUAAAAAAAUAGUCAAAAAAAGAAUAAGAAUAGUAAAAAAUAAAUGAUAUAUAAAGGUGAGUGAGUAAGCUAAAAAGAAUUACAGAAAAAGAAAGCACAGAAAAGCUGAAAAGAUUGAAGGAGAAGAAUGAAUAUUUGUGAUCCUCGUGGAUACCAACAACAUCCCCUCCACAUCAAUUUCUCCUCCUCCUCCUCCUCCUCUUCCGGCGCCGUCAUUUCCUCCUCCUC
This 254-nucleotide long non-coding RNA is filed under the name Trifolium pratense (red clover). Its description in RNAcentral is "long non-coding RNA (TPRA_LNC000450)". The record is from RNAcentral. Lineage: Eukaryota; Viridiplantae; Streptophyta; Magnoliopsida; Fabales; Fabaceae.